GAUAAACUGUCUCCUGCUCAGUGGUCAGCUCUGGGUUUCAUCUUAGUGUCAUCAGGAAAAGAUCUGGAUGUGUUUGACCUGAAGAAAUACUCUGCUUCAGAGGAGGCUCUUCUGAGGCUGCUGCCAGUGGUUAAAGCCUCCAACAAAGCUCUACUGAGUGGCUGUAACCUCUCAGAGAGAAGCUGUGAAGCUCUGUCCUCAGUUCUCAGCUCCCAGUCCUCCAGUCUCAGAGAACUGGACCUGAGUAACAACAACCUGCAGGAAUCAGGAGCGAAGCUUCUCUCUGCUGGACUGAAGAGACCAAACUGCAACCUGGAGACUCUCAGACUGAGUGGCUGUAAUCUCUCAGAGAGAAGCUGUGAAGCUCUGUCCUCAGUUCUCAGCUCCCAGUCCUCCAGUCUCAGAGAACUGGACCUGAGUAACAACAACCUGC
Long non-coding RNA from Poecilia latipinna (sailfin molly), 433 nucleotides. RefSeq lists it as uncharacterized. Lineage: Eukaryota; Metazoa; Chordata; Actinopteri; Cyprinodontiformes; Poeciliidae. The transcript is spliced from 3 exons. The record is from RefSeq and is a predicted model, not a curated record.